Molecule: long non-coding RNA, 2808 nt
Filed under: Heterocephalus glaber (naked mole-rat)
Lineage: Eukaryota; Metazoa; Chordata; Mammalia; Rodentia; Bathyergidae
Description: lncRNA (ENSHGLG00100052435.1)
Source: RNAcentral
AGGGUCAGUCGGAUCCCGCCACACCGGGCACCCUGCUGGGCUGGUUUCUACCCUUCCUUCCCCUCCCCCAGCCCGGGCCAGAAGCCAAGCUGUCUGGAGCAGGCACUGUUGCUCUCCUGGAUUAAAGAGAGCCCAGGGAAGGGCUCCAAGUUGGAGACCUAAUGCGUUACUUUGGAGAUGAGCAAAUUCAAGCCUGGAGAGGCCCAGACAUUGGCCUGAAGUCACACAGCUGGCCAGGGGCAGAGCUCGGCCUUCCCAUCCCGAACCCCAACUGUGCCCAACCCGAGGGACCUGGGCUGGCCAGGGGCAGCACCCCCCAGUGGGCUCUCUGCAGAUAUUCACUCCACAUGGGUUUAGAGGCAGAGCUGGGUCUGCGGUGGGAAGGAAAAGACCGAUCAGCCCUCAGCUAAACCAGAGCCCUCUGCCAUCUCUGCAGCAAGCCGAGGACGGAAUUCAGGGCCUUGUGCAUGCUAGGUGUGAGCUGUCCCCACCACAGCGCUUAGUUGCAGAAGAGGAAGUGAGGUCCACGGAACUUGAGAGCCAUCCAUGCCAUGCAGGGUGCUGCCUCCUGGGUCCUGGUCCUGCUGGUGAGCUCUGUCCCCUGGGGAGAGUUCGGGCCAGGGCUUGGAGGAGCAGGGCCUGGAGAGCCUCAGUGUAGAGGCAGAAGGGAACCAGGCGCCCAGCACGGACAGAGAAAAGAGCUCACAUGUCAUGCAAUGUUUUGAAAACUCCAGUGGGCAAAGCGUGGCCAUGACCACCUGCCUGUUGUACAGUGUGGCCUUAUUAGGAUGCUGUAGACUCACCCAUGCUGCCGACAACACAUCUGCCAACCAGGCGGGGAGCAGCCCCAGAGCAGCCCUUUCUUCCUCCAGGGCCGCACUGGUCAGAACCUCCAGAGAACAGCCAAAAGCAGUGGGCGUCUGAUGUUAAGGAAUUUGCUUACCAAUCAUGAGGCUGGGCAAGUCCAGACUCCAUGAGGGGCUGGCAGGCUGGGGACCAAAAGGCGAGCUGCAGGUCAAGUCCAAAGGCAGUGCCAGCAGAAGUCCUCUUCUUCGGGGGAGUCUGUCUUUUUCCAUGAAGUCCUUCAGGUGAUGAGACGGGGCGCACCCACUUUAUGGCGGUGGUCUACACUACUCAAAGCCUCUUGGUUUAAAGCUUAAUCUCAUCUUUAAAAAAAUACCUUCACAGAAACAUCUAGAACAGUAUUUGAUAAAAUAUCUAGGUACAGGGUUCCAGCCAAGUCGACACAGAAAAUUAACCAUCAUCAUACCUUCUACUAUUGCUGAAUUCCUGACUGCUCUUGUCGCUUCCACUUGGAGACACCUGUUUUCUCCCUGGCAGGAGAAGGGAAGCAUGCAUCUGGGGAGAAGAGAUGAUGUUCUGCGUAUCUUUACAUCCUCUUGGAGGUUCUAGAGUAAUAUUUUGGACAAAAUAGAUACUGAAUACUAUGUGGGUAGCUAUUAAUCUGGCUACUUUUCUUUGGCUUUUAUUUCUCCAGGUAAAAAAAUCAGUAGAACUCUGCGAUGAAAUUUGGUUACUGUUAUGGCUUGUGGCUAGAGGUCCCCCAAAGCCUCCUGUGCCCACAGGUGGGAUUAAGUGUGAUACUGGGAUUAAGGGUGUGCGAUUAGUAAAUGAGUCCACUGAAUGGUCUGGCAUAGUUCUGAGUGUAGACAAUGGCAAGGCCCACCCUAGGUGUGACUGCUCCCUACCCUAAGGGUGUGUGGCCUGGAUAGAAUAUAAGGGACUGAAAGAGGCUGCUGCAGUCACUUGCUGCCUGCCCUGCCAUGGACUGUUUCUUCUCUGCAGUGCCCCUGCCAUGCCGCCCGCCUUAGAGCCAGCCAAUUAUGGACUGAAUCUCUACACACUGUGAGCUAAGCAAACCUUUCCUCCCUUCACUUUGGGUGUCAGGUAUUCUGUCUCAAUAAUCAGAAAUCCAAGGACAAAGUAUUUUAAGUGUAAAUACCAGAAAAAUAGUCCAUUCAAGAACAUGCCUUUUCUUCCAGCUCAGGCCUUUAUGUUGGCCUCUAGCCUCCUGACCUUUGGGAGAACCCAGCACAUGAGGAAUCUGAGGCCCAGGAAGUCUUUCUUUGUGGAAUGUAGGAAUUAUUCCUUUUGCAAUUUCUCUCCUCUAAGUCUUAAUCCUAAUAAUAAAGUGAUUUAUCAGAUUAAGACACUAAUUAAUCCUGUCUGAACAACUUGAUGUUAUCGUGUUUAAUUUCAAAUUCAAUUAUUUUGGUAUUUAAUUACAAAACAGUUAAUUACUUUAUUGUAAUUGUGUAUCUUUUUAAAGUAGAAAGAGCCCAGAAAUCCCUGAUAAGGGGCUAUCCUGAGGCACAACUGUUUCCUACUUUAUCUCUAGCGUGUAUCGCUUUGCUGCUUGAUUGUCCUGGGCUUAAGCUUCUCUUUUAUGUGCUUUUCAGUUUCUCAUUUCCUGUUUGGUUUUGGUUUCUUUUUUAUGACAUCCAGAGCCACAUUCCGCUGCCUGUGUGGGUUUCGGCACCUGGGCCUUCCAUGGCCUUUCUAGAAAGAUCUCUUUUCCCUGCAGCACCCACCACUUCUCUAAGUCAGAGGCUGUGAAUGCCAAUGUUUUGAGAGUUAUCUUGCCUAUGGGCAUUAGUGGCAGGGCCCCCAGUUUGAGCAGCUCCCCUCUUUGGAGUGAAGGUGUUGUGUCUGAGGUCAUGUGGGCUCCCCAGGGACACGGGGACUAUGUAUGCUCUGGCACAGAAGUAUUUCAACAUUUUCAUUUUCACAGCUGGUAGAACUUCACAGAUCCAUGGCCAUUCCCACCAAGCCUGGCUUUACAACUUU